GGCGCGGACCAGGCGAUCGCCGGGCCGACUUGUUCGGUCCGGAGGAAAGUCCGAACACCACAGGGCAGGGUGCUCCAUAACGUGGAGUCGCGGCGACGCGAAGGCAAGUGCAACAGAAAGCAGACCGCCCAGGAGGGGUUUGAUCCCUGAAUGGGUAAGGGUGAAACGGUGCGGUAAGAGCGCACCAGUUCUCCGGGCGACCGGGGAAGCUGGGUAAACCCCACCCGGUGCAAGACCAAAUAGGGGAGUGUUUGAGAGCGGCCCGCUCAAGCUCCCGGGUAGGUCGCAGGAGGCAACGGGUAACCGUUGUCCAGAGAUGAAUGAUCGUCGGCGGAUUCGGGGUAACCCGGGUUCGCAACAGAAUUCGGCUUACGGUCCGCGCCGGCC
RNAcentral lists this RNase P RNA (387 nucleotides) under Desulfobacteraceae bacterium. RNAcentral describes it as "RNase P RNA component class A". It matches the Rfam family "Bacterial RNase P class A". From Rfam's summary of the family: Ribonuclease P (RNase P) is a ubiquitous endoribonuclease, found in archaea, bacteria and eukarya as well as chloroplasts and mitochondria. The record is from RNAcentral. Lineage: Bacteria; Pseudomonadati; Thermodesulfobacteriota; Desulfobacteria; Desulfobacterales; Desulfobacteraceae.